AGAUUGAACGCUAGCGGGAUGCUUUACACAUGCAAGUCGAACGGCAGCGCGGACUUCGGUCUGGCGGCGAGUGGCGAACGGGGUGAGUAAUAUAUCGGAACGUGCCCAGUAGCGGGGGGAUAACUACGCGAAAGCGUGGCUAAUACCGCAUACGCCCUACGGGGGAAAGGGGGGGAUUCUUCGGAACCUCUCACUAUUGGAGCGGCCGAUAUCAGAUUAGCUAGUUGGUGAGGUAAAGGCUCACAAGGCGACGAUCUGUAGCUGGUCUGAGAGGACGACCAGCCACACCUGGGACUGAGACACGGCCCAGACUCCUACGGGGAGGCAGCAGGUGGGAAUUUGGACAAUGGGCGACAAGCCUGACUCCAGCAAUGCCGCGUGCGAGGAAGAAGGCCGUUCGGUUAGUAACGUGUCUUUUGGUACGUAACGGAACGUCGUAGUUA
Molecule: ribosomal RNA, 443 nt
Filed under: uncultured soil bacterium
Lineage: Bacteria
Description: bacterial SSU rRNA
Rfam family: Bacterial small subunit ribosomal RNA
Source: RNAcentral